RNAcentral lists this ribosomal RNA (253 nucleotides) under uncultured bacterium. Its description in RNAcentral is "partial 16S ribosomal RNA". It matches the Rfam family "Bacterial small subunit ribosomal RNA", at positions 524 to 776 of the family's 1533-position model. The record is from RNAcentral.
UACGAAGGGGGCUAGCGUUGCUCGGAAUUACUGGGCGUAAAGCGCACGUAGGCGGAUUGUUAAGUCGGGGGUGAAAUCCUGGAGCCCAACUCCAGAACUGCCUUCGAUACUGGCGAUCUCGAGUUCGGGAGAGGUGAGUGGAACUGCGAGUGUAGAGGUGAAAUUCGUAGAUAUUCGCAAGAACACCAGUGGCGAAGGCGGCUCACUGGCCCGAUACUGACGCUGAGGUGCGAAAGCGUGGGGAGCAAACAGG